This 492-nucleotide long non-coding RNA is filed under the name Homo sapiens (human). Its description in RNAcentral is "HSALNT0378485". The record is from RNAcentral. Lineage: Eukaryota; Metazoa; Chordata; Mammalia; Primates; Hominidae.
AAAAUAGAGUCCCCAGGGAAUACUGAUAGCCUUUUUCCAAUAAAGCGAAAUCUAUUUGCAAUAAUAGGUAUAUGCAAAGACCUCCUGAAAUUACAGGAGCAAACUCCUUCCGCAUCUCGACCUAAUUAAGAUCCGUUACUCAACAGUGAUCAGUCAGAUUUUACUGUAAGAAGGAAGAAAACAAGGAUCCUGCUAGAACAACAUGGAAACAGCAUUGAAGAUGGUUUCCAAUAUCCAGAUGGACAGGCUGACCAUGAGUGCAAAUCUUCUUGUCCUUAGGAAAAAAAACUUCAAAGGGUAGACAACAGCCAAAUACCGAUCAACGGCAAUGCAGGAAAGACACACACAGAGAUCCAAUAUUGGCUGGAAUGCUGACUAUAAUCACAAAGAUGUAAACAAUGGGAAACAAAUAGUGAUCCAGGUCAUGCUGUUCUUCAAUACAUGUGCUGUUCAUUUUUUCCUUUUUAAGGUAGCAAUUAUAUUAGUUCUUAG